This 301-nucleotide ribosomal RNA is filed under the name uncultured bacterium. RNAcentral's name for it is "partial 16S ribosomal RNA". It matches the Rfam family "Bacterial small subunit ribosomal RNA", at positions 509 to 807 of the family's 1533-position model. The record is from RNAcentral.
CAGUAGCCGCGGUAAUACGUAGGUGGCAAGCGUUGUCCGGAAUUAUUGGGCGUAAAGGGCUCGCAGGCGGUUUCUUAAGUCUGAUGUGAAAGCCCCCGGCUCAACCGGGGAGGGUCAUUGGAAACUGGGAAACUUGAGUGCAGAAGAGGAGAGUGGAAUUCCACGUGUAGCGGUGAAAUGCGUAGAGAUGUGGAGGAACACCAGUGGCGAAGGCGACUCUCUGGUCUGUAACUGACGCUGAGGAGCGAAAGCGCGGGGAGCGAACAGGAUUAGAGACCCGCGUAGUCCCUGUCUCUUAUAC